RNAcentral lists this ribosomal RNA (717 nucleotides) under Triticum aestivum (bread wheat). RNAcentral describes it as "partial small subunit ribosomal RNA". The record is from RNAcentral. Lineage: Eukaryota; Viridiplantae; Streptophyta; Magnoliopsida; Poales; Poaceae.
AUGAGGAACAAUCGGAUGUUCCAGUCCCUUGGCAUCGGUGCAAUAGCAUCGAUGAUUAGGAAAACAAAUGGUGUACAAGAAGGUAGAAGUGAUGAGAUUCAAGAGGGUAGUGGAGUUAUCAAUGAUGACCCAGAGUACAAUCCUAAGGAGGAUGAGGUUAUUGAUGGAGAGGAAGUGGAUGAUGUUGUACUGAACAAGAUUGUUAAGGUGCAAACUCUGUCUUGCUUGGAGAAGAACAAGAGCUCAGAAACAUCUGCUGCAAUGCCUCCAGGAAGGGUGAUGGCCCCAGCUCGAGGACAAAAAAAGAGGAUCCUGGAACCUGAUGAACCUGCCCUUGAUAGAGUCACAAGGCAGAAAGCAAGGAUGGCGACUGUGACAGACCAUCAGGAAAGUAUGAUGCGCAUGGACUCUCAAACCUCGGUGCAAAUGGGUGAUGAGUUGCCGCCCAUGGAUGAAGAUGCAAUGACUCCCAAGACUAGACUUAGAAAGGGCAAAGGGCUAGAGAGGAUCACCAAGUCGCUUGGUAGCAAGGUGCCUAUCCAAAUUGCCGAAGGGAUGAUGCGUCUAGAGAAGCCUCUGCAGGCAGCAAAGCUUGCUUCUGAGUGUGGACUCGUUGCAAAAAGCCAUCUUCCGGUUCUUCCUCACUUCAAGCUAUACAAAAAAAUGCUAGUCUAUUGGAGAACUACAUUGGGAAAGUUGUUGCAAAUUUUGAGAUGA